UCCAGACUCCUACGGGAGGCAGCAGUGGGGAAUAUUGGGCAAUGGGCGCAAGCCUGACCCAGCAACGCCGCGUGAAGGAAGAAGGCUUUCGGGUUGUAAACUUCUUUUGUCAGGGACGAAGCAAGUGACGGUACCUGACGAAUAAGCCACGGCUAACUACGUGCCAGCAGCCGCGGUAAUACGUAGGUGGCAAGCGUUAUCCGGAUUUACUGGGUGUAAAGGGCGUGUAGGCGGGACUGCAAGUCAGAUGUGAAAACCACGGGCUCAACCUGUGGCCUGCAUUUGAAACUGUAGUUCUUGAGUACUGGAGAGGCAGACGGAAUUCCUAGUGUAGCGGUGAAAUGCGUAGAUAUUAGGAGGAACACCAGUGGCGAAGGCGGUCUGCUGGACCGUGACUGACGUUGAGGCUCGAAAGCGUGGGGAGCGAACAGGAUUAGAUACCCGAGUA
Molecule: ribosomal RNA, 448 nt
Filed under: uncultured bacterium
Lineage: Bacteria
Description: bacterial SSU rRNA
Rfam family: Bacterial small subunit ribosomal RNA
Source: RNAcentral